Molecule: long non-coding RNA, 210 nt
Filed under: Homo sapiens (human)
Lineage: Eukaryota; Metazoa; Chordata; Mammalia; Primates; Hominidae
Description: HSALNT0175686
Source: RNAcentral
CAGCAUCGUUGUCAGAAGCUCGUUGCCACUUAGAAUCCUCUGCAAGAUGUGGGGGAAGAGAAUACUGAGAUGGAUUUAAUGAAAUUACAUUUUCCAAGAAGCCUCUUGAACAGAAUGAAGUUCUUCAUUUGCCACUAAACUUUCCUCCUUGACUGAGCUCACUGAUGGUUUCUUUAAUAUGCAGAGAAAGGAUCUCCUUCUGCCAUGAAC